GGAAAAAGAGGAUGUGGGGGCACAAACACCGGAGUUGGUGCUCUUAGGGUUGCAUCUGCACUAUCUCUUCUGGAAGGAUUUGGAGCUCUUUUCACAAAAGGCUCUCAAUGCUGCUUACUGGCAACACAGCUAGAGCUCUUAACCGCCUUCGGUGACUGAUGAGCAUUUUGGUUGCUGUGAGGCUCAGCAAGGAUCCCCGUAAGAGUCUGGUAUGAUUUCUGGUGUAUGGUCAAUUAGUUUCCC
This is a long non-coding RNA of Nothoprocta perdicaria, 243 nucleotides long. RefSeq lists it as uncharacterized. NCBI's taxonomy places the organism in Eukaryota, Metazoa, Chordata, Aves, Tinamiformes, Tinamidae. The record is from RefSeq and is a predicted model, not a curated record. The transcript is spliced from 3 exons.